Molecule: ribosomal RNA, 588 nt
Filed under: uncultured Gammaproteobacteria bacterium
Lineage: Bacteria; Pseudomonadati; Pseudomonadota; Gammaproteobacteria
Description: bacterial SSU rRNA
Rfam family: Bacterial small subunit ribosomal RNA
Source: RNAcentral
UUCGAUUAGAGUUUGAUCAUGGCUCAGAUUGAACGCUGGGGGCAGGCUUAACACACGCAAGUCGAGCGGGGAAGAGUAGCUUGCUACUUGACCUAGCGGCGGACGGGUGAGUAAUGCUUAGGAAUCUGCCUAUUAGUGGGGGACAACAUCUCGAAAGGGAUGCUAAUACCGCAUACGUCCUACGGGAGAAAGCAGGGGACCUUCGGGCCUUGCGCUAAUAGAUGAGCCUAAGUCGGAUUAGCUAGUUGGUGGGGUAAAGGCCUACUAAGGCGACGAUCUGUAGCGGGUCUGAGAGGAUGAUCAGUCACACUGGAACUGAGACACGGUCCAGACUCCUACGGGAGGCAGCAGUGGGGAAUAUUGGACAAUGGGCGAAAGCCUGAUCCAGCCAUGCCGCGUGUGUGAAGAAGGUCUUCGGAUUGUAAAGCACUUUAAGUUGGGAGGAAGGGCAUUAACCUAAUACGUUAGUGUUUUGACGUUACCGACAGAAUAAGCACCGGCUAACUCUGUGCCAGCAGCCGCGGUAAUACGAAUCACUAGUGAAUUCGCGGCCGCCUGCAGGUCGACCAUAUGGGAGAGCUCCCAACG